This 253-nucleotide ribosomal RNA is filed under the name uncultured bacterium. RNAcentral describes it as "partial 16S ribosomal RNA". It matches the Rfam family "Bacterial small subunit ribosomal RNA", at positions 524 to 776 of the family's 1533-position model. The record is from RNAcentral.
UACAGGGGGGGCGAGCGUUGUUCGGAAUUACUGGGCGUAAAGCGUGCGCAGGCGGUUUUGUAAGUCUGUCGUGAAAGCCCCGGGCUCAACCUGGGAAUUGCGAUGGAGACUGCAAGGCUUGAAUCUGGCAGAGGGGGGUAGAAUUCCACGUGUAGCAGUGAAAUGCGUAGAGAUGUGGAGGAACACCGAUGGCGAAGGCAGCCCCCUGGGUCAAGAUUGACGCUCAUGCGCGAAAGCGUGGGGAGCAAACAGG